RNAcentral lists this ribosomal RNA (500 nucleotides) under uncultured bacterium. Its description in RNAcentral is "partial 16S ribosomal RNA". It matches the Rfam family "Bacterial small subunit ribosomal RNA", at positions 30 to 523 of the family's 1533-position model. The record is from RNAcentral.
AUUGAACGCUGGCGGCAUGCCUUACACAUGCAAGUCGAACGGCAGCACGGGAGCAAUCCUGGUGGCGAGUGGCGAACGGGUGAGUAAUAUAUCGGAACGUGCCCAGUCGUGGGGGAUAACGCAGCGAAAGCUGUGCUAAUACCGCAUACGAUCUCUGGGUGAUAGCGGGGGACCGUAAGGCCUCGCGCGAUUGGAGCGGCCGAUAUCAGAUUAGCUAGUUGGUGGGGUAAAGGCCCACCAAGGCGACGAUCUGUAGCUGGUCUGAGAGGACGACCAGCCACACUGGAACUGAGACACGGUCCAGACUCCUACGGGAGGCAGCAGUGGGGAAUUUUGGACAAUGGGCGCAAGCCUGAUCCAGCAAUGCCGCGUGCAGGAUGAAGGCCUUCGGGUUGUAAACUGCUUUUGUACGGAACGAAACGGCGAGCUCUAAUAAAGUUUGCUAAUGACGGUACCGUAAGAAUAAGCACCGGCUAACUACGUGCCAGCCGCCGCAGUAA